UGAUCGAAUGAGUGUCUUAGAUUGUAAGCUCCCAGUGGGCAGGAGCUGUGUCUCCUGCACCCAACUUGCCCAAGAAGGUGCUUAAUGAGAUGGGGUCUGACUCAUCAGAUCAAACUUUGGGUCAGACGCCUCCAUUAGGCUCUAUUGUGGGGGAGGGGAGGAGGGGCCGGGUGAGGGACCAGCCUGGCACUGGGUAAGUAUUCAGGGCCUCGGCUACAGGAAGAGAGAAAGCAGAAGCCCAUCUACUCUCUGCCCCCUGGAGCUCUCCCAGACAAUCCUGCUCAGAGGGGCCAAGGAAGGAGCCUGAGCCCCAGAUGCAUCCUGGGAGACCCAGCCCCCUGCUCCAUCCCCACCUCCCCACGGACAUGUUGGUGCAGACAGGACGGUUGCUUCCUACUCCCUGGGUGGAGGACUGGGCUGGCACUCUCCCCCGUGGUGGGCUAGAAGACACCUCAUCAACCAAUCAACGGUCACAUCUGUCCUCAGGAAGCCGCAGCGCAGCCCCGAACCGGACCACCUCGCCCC
Molecule: long non-coding RNA, 525 nt
Organism: Ornithorhynchus anatinus (platypus)
Lineage: Eukaryota; Metazoa; Chordata; Mammalia; Monotremata; Ornithorhynchidae
Exons: 3
Source: RefSeq, a predicted model, not a curated record